CCUACGGGAGGCAGCAGUGAGGAAUAUUGGUCAAUGGGCGAGAGCCUGAACCAGCCAAGUCGCGUGAAGGAUGACGGCCCUACGGGUUGUAAACUUCUUUUGUCAGGGAGCCAUUGGGUCCACGCGUGGGCUUAGCGAGAGUACCUGAAGAAAAAGCAUCGGCUAACUCCGUGCCAGCAGCCGCGGUAAUACGUAGGGGGCAAGCGUUAUCCGGAUUUCCUGGGUGUAAAGGGAGCGUGGACGGCAGCACAAGUCUGGAGUGAAAUGCCGGGGCUUAACCCCGGAACUGCUUUGGAAACUGGGCAGCUAGAGUGCAGGAGAGGUAAGUGGAAUGCCUAGUGUAGCGGUGAAAUGCGUAGAUAUUAGGAGGAACACCAGUUGCGAAGGCGGCUUACUGGACUGUAACUGACGUUGAGGCUCGAAAGCGUGGGGAGCAAACAGGAUUAGAUACCCCAGUAGUC
Molecule: ribosomal RNA, 461 nt
Filed under: uncultured bacterium
Lineage: Bacteria
Description: partial 16S ribosomal RNA
Rfam family: Bacterial small subunit ribosomal RNA
Source: RNAcentral